This 506-nucleotide ribosomal RNA is filed under the name uncultured bacterium. RNAcentral's name for it is "partial 16S ribosomal RNA". It matches the Rfam family "Bacterial small subunit ribosomal RNA", at positions 29 to 523 of the family's 1533-position model. The record is from RNAcentral.
AGUGAACGCUGGCGGUAGGCCUAACACAUGCAAGUCGAACGGCAGCACAGGAGAGCUUGCUCUCUGGGUGGCGAGUGGCGGACGGGUGAGGAAUACAUCGGAAUCUACUCUGUCGUGGGGGAUAACGUAGGGAAACUUACGCUAAUACCGCAUACGACCUACGGGUGAAAGCAGGGGAUCUUCGGACCUUGCGCGAUUGAAUGAGCCGAUGUCGGAUUAGCUAGUUGGCGGGGUAAAGGCCCACCAAGGCGACGAUCCGUAGCUGGUCUGAGAGGAUGAUCAGCCACACUGGACCUGAGACACGGUCCAGACUCCUACGGGAGGCAGCAGUGGGGAAUAUUGAACAAUGGGCGCAAGCCUGAUCCAGCCAGACCGCGUGGGUGAAGAAGGCCUUCGGGUUGUAAAGCCCUUUUGUUGGGAAAGAAAUCCAGCUGGCUAAUACCCGGUUGGGAUGACGGUACCCAAAGAAUAAGCACCGGCUAACUUCGUGCCAGCCGCCGCGGUAA